AAAAACAUCAAGGCUCAUGUCUUUGUCUUCACAUUUCUGCUGGUUUGCUCUUUUAUUUCGCUCAACUUGGUCAGAAUUAUUUCACUGCAUAUCAAUUUAAAACAGCCACAGAAUGAGGAAAGUGCAGCUUUCACUCUAUCUGCUGCUGUGGACUCAAACUGUAGAGAGUUUAAUUGAUAAACGGGUGAAAUUAGGAGAAAAUGUGACUUUAGACUGUCAAAUUGGUGUAAAAGAGAUGUAUUGGGUUUUCCAGAAACUGAUAGAUUCUCCAGUGCUGAUACUGAGAACUUACUCAUCAGAAUCUACAGCAUCUUUUAUACCAGAGGACAGACUCAGAGACAAAUAUUCAUCACUCACUUUGAGCCGUUUGUUUAUUAGUAGCAUAACUAUUGAUGAAUUAGGAAUAUAUUACUGUAUAAAAAGAGACCAUAGAUCUAUACAGAUCACCAACGGCACCAGACUCUACAUCACUGAAACCGAGUGCAACAAGCAACAAGCACAAGUUGAUAAAUCCCUCGAGAUUCAGAAGAUUCUGACUGCUGCAUCCUUUCUCAUAAACAUUGUGCUGAUUAUUGCAAUAAUAGGUUUGGUAAUGUUCAAGCUUCAGAAGCCCACAAAAAGUCGACAACAAUGCCAGAAUGUUGAACCUGUUGCUAGCACAGAUGCUCAAGAGUUUUCUGAAGUGGAGUUUCAUCUGCACAACCCGACCAGAAACACAUUUGGGAAGAAACAAAACAAG
This 739-nucleotide long non-coding RNA is filed under the name Danio rerio (zebrafish). RNAcentral's name for it is "lncRNA si:dkey-119g10.6 (ENSDARG00000095803.2)". The record is from RNAcentral. Lineage: Eukaryota; Metazoa; Chordata; Actinopteri; Cypriniformes; Danionidae.